This 89-nucleotide microRNA precursor is filed under the name Schmidtea mediterranea. RNAcentral describes it as "microRNA sme-mir-2202 precursor". The record is from miRBase by way of RNAcentral. Lineage: Eukaryota; Metazoa; Platyhelminthes; Tricladida; Dugesiidae.
UAAGUUGGAUUUGAUAUGCGCAAAAAGAAUAUUAAUCGACUUUGUUAAUGUUCACUCGAUUAAUUUCCUUUUACGCUUAUUAAUCAACU